Trichonephila clavipes is the source of this 73-nucleotide non-coding RNA. NCBI's taxonomy places the organism in Eukaryota, Metazoa, Arthropoda, Arachnida, Araneae, Nephilidae. The record is from the annotation of a GenBank genome assembly.
GUCCCUGUAACGCAAUAGAUAGCGCUUUGGACUUUCAAUCCAAAUGUAGUGGGUUUGAAUCCUACCUGGGAUG